Sebastes umbrosus (honeycomb rockfish) is the source of this 699-nucleotide long non-coding RNA. RefSeq lists it as uncharacterized. The record is from RefSeq and is a predicted model, not a curated record. NCBI's taxonomy places the organism in Eukaryota, Metazoa, Chordata, Actinopteri, Perciformes, Sebastidae. The transcript is spliced from 6 exons.
CAGGUCGCAUAAAACAGGUGAACGUUCACAGGUGACAUCAGCAAGUGCUUUCAGGUGAGUGCUACAUGUGUCUCAGGUGAUUCCCACAUGUGUCUCAGGUGAGUGCUACAUGUGUCUCAGGUGAGUGCUACAUGUGUCUCAGGUGAGUCCCACAUGUGUCUCAGGUGAGUCCUACAUGUGUCUCAGGUGAGUCCCACAUGUGUCUCAGGUGUGUACCACAUGUGUCUCAGGUGAGUGCUAUAUAUGUCUCAGGUGAGUCCCACAUGUGUCUCAGGUGAGUCCCACAUGUGUCUCAGGUGAGUCCUACAUGUGUCUUAGGUGAGUACAACAUGUGUCUCAGGUGAGUGCUACAUGUGUCUCAGGUGAGUGCUACAUGGGUCUCAAGUGAGUACCACAUGUGUCUCAGGUGAGUCCCACAUGUGUCUCAGGUGAGUGCUACAUAUGUCUCAGGUGUUUUCAGAUGAGUCCCACAUGUGUCUCAGGUGAGUCCCACAUGUGUCUCAGGUGAGUCCCACAUGUUUCUCAGGUGAGUCCUACAUAUGUCUCAGGUGAGUCCCACAUGUGUCUCAGGUGAGUGCUACAAAUGUCUCAGGUGUUUUCAGAUGAGUCCCACAUGUGUUUCAGGUGUUUCAGCAGAGCGACAUGCGUUUGCGGUGCUGCUCCACCAGAGGCACCAGGCAGCGCGGUGAGCUGGCCUGC